CAAGUUACUCUCGGAAAGCUAGGCCUAUGGGUGUGUACGCUUGCUCCGGAGGCUAUAUGAGCGAAAUUUGUGCAAGCCAUUGAACGUUUAAGGGGAGUCAAUCGGCAAAUGGCAGAUACAGUUCCCUGAACAGUCUAGCCUGACUGUCAAAGGUCGAUAAUCCAUCUCUCUACGCUGCGUCAUACGUUUCCUGCAUCGUCCUGGGCCCUGUAUCCUUUUGGGGCCCUUUCGCCCGGCUCUGGGGUGAUGAAAUACUAAUGGCUCCGGAUACUCCACCCCGAAUGAGGGGCCGCUCAUACCGAAAUCGGUAUACCUGCUUGCGCGAAACACACCUUCCUGGCCACCAUGACCGGAUUUGAUAUUGACGGGGUUUGUGUUAUGAGAUUUGUAAUUGCGGAUUUCUGGCGUUGUUAGGGAAAACGAGGGAGUUUGACAAAGCGAUUGGAGGAUCAUUCGCACCGAUGCAUCGGAUCUGGUAGUAUUUGGUUCAAGGAAGAAAUUCAGUCACUGAAUCUUCACAUUCUAAAAACUCAUUCCAUUAGGCAUCUAUGAAACUCCUGAACUACAUUGAAAUGAAACCGCGAAGUAGGAA
RNAcentral lists this small RNA (592 nucleotides) under Histoplasma capsulatum var. duboisii H88. RNAcentral's name for it is "Histoplasma capsulatum H88 hypothetical RNA". Lineage: Eukaryota; Fungi; Ascomycota; Eurotiomycetes; Onygenales; Ajellomycetaceae. The record is from RNAcentral.